Molecule: long non-coding RNA, 1477 nt
Organism: Pelmatolapia mariae (spotted tilapia)
Lineage: Eukaryota; Metazoa; Chordata; Actinopteri; Cichliformes; Cichlidae
Exons: 2
Source: RefSeq, a predicted model, not a curated record
UAAAAUGAUGAGGUUAGCACAGUCCACAACCCUGCAGGCAAAAACACAGACUGGAAAUUAAUUCACUGUCAUGCACCAGAGCAUUUUAUUUUUAUUGUUACAUCAUACCUCAGGCAGGUUGAUGGAACAGGUCAGCUGCACAGCUGCUUGUGCCUGGGUUAGUUAAAAGACCUGAUGGAGAACCAUGUGUUGCUGGAUGUGGAGUAACAUCAGUGGAACUCAGUCAAGUGUGGAGCCAUGAAACGUCUUUCUUAUUUCCUGUCUCCUGAGUGCAGGGCACUCUAGGUUAAGGUAUAACGUAGGUAUUCUGGAGUCAUAAGACAUGUGUUUCUGUUGGCUAAGGAAAGGAUUAGAAUGAGGGGUUAGAUAAGAGGUUACCUCUGUUGGCUCAGGACUUUGGGCACAUAUAAAUUGCUGAAAGUUUUGACAUGGAGCCAACAACAAAAUGUGUGUACUGUGUCACAUAAGGAUUAAAUAUUUUAUAGGUUUUACGCUAAGAGUGAACAACUAGCCUAGGUGCAGAUGUAUCAAAUGUUCUGUCGUAUUACCAGCUCCUAGAAACCCAUGACACCAGGCAUACUUUUCUCUUGAGUCACAUGAAUGUCUGCAUUGUGUAAUAUCCUGCCUCUAUUAAACUUCUGUUUUCAGCUUGCCUCAUGAGAAUUUAGUUGCCUGUGGUACCUUGUUGUAGUAAAUUAGAGCUAACUGGUGGGACGUGGCUACUGCUCACACACACUCACACAAUCAUCAUCUCUGUGAAUCUCCAGGAGGAUCUGGGAGAUUUUCUACAAGCAAGAAGGAAACCAGGUGCACACGUCCUCCAGAACCGUUCUUCUUUCCUGCUGAAGACUAAGAUGGCCACUUGCGGGUCAUGUUUCUGGUGCAUCAUAUGGCUCAUUGUUCUGCUGUUCAUUGGCUGGCCCAUCAGCAUCGCUUUAGGGGGUCUCUACGGUCUCAUCAGCCCCCUCACCACCUGCCUUGGCCUGGACCGACUGUCUGAUUUACUCCUGGAGGGAGCUAAUGUGGGCAGAACCUGUGCCAAUAACAUGAGGCACAGCAAGCCUUUGUGUUGAAAUCCAUCCUGUCUGAUCAGGACCAGAAAAAACAGAGGUCGAAGCCUUCACCUCAGGAAGAACUGUUAAUGUCUGAUUUAUGUGGAGCUAUUCCAGCACGACUGGUGCACAAUUCCCUGAGAAACCUUCCAGCAACUUAUGUCACAAUAAGGUCCAGAAAGUCCUGGAAAAUUGAUUCCUCUCUCACUGGUAACAUGUAAUUAACUGCAGAUUUGAAAUUUGCAUGGGUUUGUCAGGAAGAAAAUAGGCUUGCGGUGUAUGGUCUGUGUUUGCUGUUUAAUUCACAAUGACGCUGCGUGGAGACGAUAAGAACGAAAAUGCCAAUUUAACAAUGAAAAUAUUUAGACUUGGUAAUGUCUGUAUGGAAAUAUAUGGAAAUGCGAUUAAAACUGCUUUGAACUUGC